This 645-nucleotide ribosomal RNA is filed under the name uncultured bacterium. Its description in RNAcentral is "bacterial SSU rRNA". It matches the Rfam family "Bacterial small subunit ribosomal RNA", at positions 232 to 885 of the family's 1533-position model. The record is from RNAcentral.
CGCGGCCUAUCAGCUUGUUGGUGAGGUAACGGCUCACCAAGGCAUCGACGGGUAGCUGGUCUGAGAGGACGAUCAGCCACACUGGGACUGAGACACGGCCCAGACUCCUACGGGAGGCAGCAGCAGGGAAUAUUGCGCAAUGGGCGAAAGCCUGACGCAGCGACACCGCGUGAAGGAUGAAGGCCCUCGGGUUGUAAACUUCUUUCAGUGGGGAAGAAGCGAAAGUGACGGUACCCACAGAAGAAGCCCCGGCCGACUACGUGCCAGCAGCCGCGGUAAUACGUAGGGGGCAAGCGUUGUCCGGAUUCAUUGGGCGUAAAGAGCUCGUAGGCGGCUUGGCAAGUCGGUCGUGAAAUACCGAGGCUCAACCUCGGAACGCCGAUCGAAACUGCCAUGGCUAGGGUCCGGUAGAGGAGAGUGGAAUUCCCGGUGUAGCGGUGAAAUGCGCAGAUAUCGGGAGGAACACCAGUAGCGAAGGCGGCUCUCUGGGCCGGUACCGACGCUGAGGAGCGAAAGCGUGGGGAGCAAACAGGGUUAGAUACCCUGGUAGUCCACGCCGUAAACGUUGGGUACUAGGUGUGGCGGGUUCAUCAAUGCCCGCCGUACCGAAGCUAACGCAUUAAGUACCCCGCCUGGGGAGUACGG